CCUACGGGAGGCAGCAGUGGGGAAUAUUGGACAAUGGGCGCAAGCCUGAUCCAGCCAUGCCGCGUGUGUGAAGAAGGCCUUUUGGUUGUAAAGCACUUUAAGCGAGGAGGAGGGCACUUUGGCUAAUACCCGAAUGUGUCGGACGUUACUCGCAGAAUAAGCACCGGCUAACUCUGUGCCAGCAGCCGCGGUAAUACAGAGGGUGCGAGCGUUAAUCGGAAUUACUGGGCGUAAAGCGCGCGUAGGCGGUUAUGUAAGUUGGAUGUGAAAUCCCCGGGCUUAACCUGGGCACUGCAUUCAAAACUGCAUAGCUAGAGUAUGGGAGAGGAUGGUAGAAUUCCAGGUGUAGCGGUGAAAUGCGUAGAGAUCUGGAGGAAUACCGAUGGCGAAGGCAGCCAUCUGGCCUAAUACUGACGCUGAGGUGCGAAAGCAUGGGGAGCAAACAGGAUUAGAUACCCGAGUAGUC
This 466-nucleotide ribosomal RNA is filed under the name uncultured bacterium. Its description in RNAcentral is "bacterial SSU rRNA". It matches the Rfam family "Bacterial small subunit ribosomal RNA", at positions 338 to 795 of the family's 1533-position model. The record is from RNAcentral.